Molecule: ribosomal RNA, 321 nt
Filed under: uncultured eukaryote
Lineage: Eukaryota
Description: partial 18S ribosomal RNA
Rfam family: Eukaryotic small subunit ribosomal RNA
Source: RNAcentral
CCCUUAGAUGGCCUGGGCCGCACGCGCGCUACACUGACAUGUUCAACAAGCCUCCUAGUUCGACAGGAUUUGGGAAAUCUUUGAACGCAUGUCGUGAUAGGGAUAGAUCAUUGCAAUUAUUGAUCUUGAACGAGGAAUUCCUAGUAAACGCGAGUCAUCAGCUCGCAUUGAUUACGUCCCUGCCCUUUGUACACACCGCCCGUCGCACCUACCGAUUGAAUGUUUCGGUGAAGAUUCCGGAUAGGACUUUUUUGAUUUAUUUCAAUUUUGUCUUAAAAGCUAUCUAAACCUCAACAUUUAGAGGAAGGUGAAGUCGUAACA